Molecule: long non-coding RNA, 937 nt
Organism: Megalobrama amblycephala (Wuchang bream)
Lineage: Eukaryota; Metazoa; Chordata; Actinopteri; Cypriniformes; Xenocyprididae
Exons: 2
Source: RefSeq, a predicted model, not a curated record
UGAGGCAUUACUGAGUGUUUUAGAUAAUAAUUGCAGCAUAUAACUCUCUCAGUUACGUUUAGAUGAAGAGCAGGAGGCUGAAUGUCAGGCUUUAAGGCAGCAGCUACAUCAGGAGAUGGAGCUCCUCGAUGCCAGAACAAAACCAAGGCGCAGAUGGAGGCCCAACAUGAGCGUGAGGUGCAGAAGUUGGAACAGAAGGCGUCUUUGCGCCGGGCUCACUUGGAACAGAAGAUUGAAGAAGACCUGGCCUCAUUUCAUAAGGAACGGACUGAAAAAAAAUCAAGCAUUUAUUUACGCGUCAGGAGUGAGAACUGGAGAUGUUUGAUUCAGAGAGUGCACGGCUAGGAUUUGGAAGCUUGGCCUCAUUUGACUUUCCCAAGGAUGAGGCCAGAUGAUCCAACAGAGGUGAAAGGGACUGUUCAACACUGAUGUCUUUGGACACAUUGUGCCUGCACUGUCCCUGAUUGUAGGAUUUACCAAGAUCAUCCAAACAGUGACCAUGCUGGAUCAAUAUCUUAUAACUCAUAUCGGCUGUGAGAACUUCACUGAUAUUCUGAAAGGAGAAACUAACACAAACACAAAAGUGGUUUGGUGGUGCAUCACUGAGCUCAUAAACCAAGAAGAAAUAUCUAGACAAACUGACCUUUUCUCCAUGCCAUUGUCCCACUUUUGGUAUUAAAUUAGUAAUUCAGGAUAUUUUAGUACAAGUAAGCACUUUGAUAUGUUAAGUACGAUCCCAUCAUGUUAGGUGGAUAUGAAGUGUGAAAUGCCUUUGGUGUCAUCAAAGGACAUUGCGACUGUAGAAUGUGUCCUGCAUCUUCACCGUGGCUAUUAGCUGUUUUGUAUGUAUCACAGAGAAUGUGACAACUGUUGAUGAAAACUUUACACAGAAGCAGAUUUUCAAGCAGUGUCUGAUUUUAAAAUAUGGUGAAUACAU